GGAGGUAUAGCUCAGUGGGAGAGCACAUGCUUAGCAUGCAUGAGGCUCUAGGUUCAAUCCCCAGCACCCUG
This 71-nucleotide transfer RNA is filed under the name Ictidomys tridecemlineatus (thirteen-lined ground squirrel). Its description in RNAcentral is "Spermophilus tridecemlineatus (thirteen-lined ground squirrel) tRNA". It matches the Rfam family "tRNA". From Rfam's summary of the family: Transfer RNA (tRNA) molecules are approximately 80 nucleotides in length. Their secondary structure includes four short double-helical elements and three loops (D, anti-codon, and T loops). Lineage: Eukaryota; Metazoa; Chordata; Mammalia; Rodentia; Sciuridae. The record is from Rfam by way of RNAcentral.